RNAcentral lists this ribosomal RNA (292 nucleotides) under uncultured Acidobacteriota bacterium. RNAcentral's name for it is "uncultured Acidobacteria bacterium partial 16S ribosomal RNA". The record is from RNAcentral. Lineage: Bacteria; Pseudomonadati; Acidobacteriota.
GGACUACUGGGGUAUCUAAUCCUGUUUGCUCCCCUAGCUUUCGUCCCUCAGCGUCAGUUGUGGUCCAGCGCGCCGCUUUCGCCACGGGUGUUCCUGCAGAUAUCUACGCAUUUCACCGCUACACCUGCAAUUCCACGCGCCUCUCCCACACUCAAGCACGGCAGUUUCGAAGGCAGUCUCUGAGUUAAGCCCAGAGAUUUCACCCCCGACUUGCCACACCGCCUACGGACCCUUUACACCCAGUAAUUCCGAGCAACGCUGGCCCCCUACGUCUUACCGCGGCGGCUGGCAC